Non-coding RNA from Phasianus colchicus (ring-necked pheasant), 9561 nucleotides. Lineage: Eukaryota; Metazoa; Chordata; Aves; Galliformes; Phasianidae. The record is from RefSeq and is a predicted model, not a curated record.
CACGGAGGGAUUGAAAUUUAGGUCCUGGCUGGUGAAUUUGUGCGUGAUCGGACCUCGAGAUAACGCGUUUUUGUGCUGGCUUGCGCCCAGCGUGUGUUUCCAGGGAGACGAGAGCACAGCCGCGCCUGCUGGGCUGCUGCGCCUUCGUGAACGGAGGAGGUGGCAUCCAGCCGGGUGGGAGGGUGGCAGCGCUGUGGGCACUGUGGGACUGGGACAAAAGUCAAAGGAAAGAGAAUAAAAAGUCCGUGUGAGCAGAAGAGAUGCUUGCUUACUGUGGGCGAGGGAGCCCUGGUGCAGGCUGCACAGGGGCUGUGGUUUUCUCGGAGGUCUCCAGAAGACUGGGCAGCCUGCUCUGUGUUCCUGCUGGAGCAGGGGUAGGACCAGGUGGUCCCAAAGGUCCUGCCAACCUCAGCAAUGCCGUGUUUCUGAGAAUCUUAUUUCUUUAGGCUUCCUGCUCUCGUAGAGAGCAGCACAGGGUAGUUAUGCCUCAUAUGGGAGGUUGAGUGCCAUCGUUGUUUGCUCUAUCAUUGUAAACUAAGGGCAAAAUUAUUAUUUUUUUUUUUUUAAGGAAGUCUAUGAAGGGGAAAGUACUUCUGUUCAUCCAGGCAUUACAUACUUGGAGAUAGAUCUUCAGCUGUACAACACAAAGUAGCUUUAGAGAAAUAUUCUGAGCAAUUCAGCUUUAAAUGCAGCUUCCACCUAUACUGAGAUACUUGGAGAUCAGUAUAUUAGAUAUAUUUAUGGGCCUUUGCUUAACUACUUAACCCGAAGAAUAUGGUUCGGUUUGAAAUGCAUGGCACUGUGGAAAAUGCAUUACAUUCAUACAGUUUUUUUUUUUUUUUUUUUGGCCUGACAUACCUUUAGAAGCUGAUAUUCCUUGCUUGUGGGAAAGAUGUCUCCUGAGGCCCAGAAUCUUCUGAGGAUCUGAGUGUCUUAUGAAACUGAAUGCAAACAUGCUGAAGCAUUUCCCCAAUAUGUAAGAGAACUUUCUGUUUAAAUUGCUGAUUGUAUUAAGUGACUGAAUCAUAGUCUCCUUCUUCAAAGCAAACCACAGCACAACUGAAAAAAAAAGAGGAAUAAUGAAAUAGUAAUGCAUUUUACUUAACUCAAAAAGCUUAGCACAUUAAGAAUGCUGUAAGCUACUUCCUAACUCAUCUGGAAUGUUGGGGACCUUAAAAGGAGACCAGAGUAACUCCAGUACAUUAUCCAAUAAAGAGCUGAGAUGGCAGAAGAGUAUUUCCAUCUUCAGAAGCCACAACUUAAGAAGGGAGUAGUUUUGGACUUCAUGUUUGUCUACUCAUUGACACUGCAGGAACCUGACUCUAGUAUUCCAUGGUUACUACAGCAUGUGUGUCCUUUCUGGCUGGCACACCUACUGCCUGUAUGACAAGAAAUAACCUAUAACACCCUUCAGACAUCUCCUGGAUGGGCUGUGUUUGGACAUGUUAAAAGUUGGGAUGAGGAUGUGGGUGCUUGACAGAGACUUCCAAAAAUCAUUAAUGAUGGCUGCAUCUGCUCUCUUACCUAUCUUGUGAGUUGUAUGGGAACCGCUGAGGCCAGAACCUCUGAUUGAUCACCUGAGGCGAGCAACGAGUCAGCCACAGAGCACAGGUGAAGGCAAUUCACCUGUGCUGCCGGAAGGGAUGGAGCUUGGCCUCACCUCUCCUAGACACAUUUAAGAGCUGUCUACCAGGGGGAGGAUCUCUUCUGGAGAUCCCUCCUCUGGAGUUUUGCAGCGAGCCCAGGAUAUGGUUUCCAGUCAUGUGUCCCAAAGCGUAUAUGUGAGUUGCUGGGAAAGGCUCUCCAAAUUCUUGCUGCAACGAGGGCUCCCCAGCAACUGCAGAUCUGGAUGAUGUUUUGGCUGCCUAUAACUUCUAUGAAAAAGGAGCAUGUUACAUUUUAAAAUGUUCAUCAGCAUAGAUGAUGGACCUUCAUCUCAGCUGGCUUGAUAGCUCUCACUGAGGUUAAAACACAACUUUCAAGAGAAGCUACCUGGUUGAUGUGUACUUUGACUGAGAAAAAUAAAUGGAUAAUUUGGCAAAGGUUCGCUUUGCAGUCUUAAUCUUCUUUGAAUACCCUCUGAGAAUGGAGAUACGAUAUGAGAUCAGAAGUACUUUCCUAAUGUUUGUGGAACAGCACGGUCUUUCACCGAAACCAAAAUUAAAAGUUGAAGUGCUGCCAUUUGGCAUGGGGACACAAGAAAUCAGACAGAAGAUCCAGGCCCCUGCGUACUGCUGAGGCCAUGGAGGCAGUGGGACUCUUACCAGUAAACCCACUAAUUAAACAUUUGCAUUUGCCAGCUAACAGAAUGUAUUUGGCUUGUUUCUUCCUUGGGGCAACUUAUCAGGUACAAAUGGGGACUAUAUGCUGACAUCCAGAAUUUAGUCUGAAGAUGUGCUUCACUGGAGACUUAAGUGCAUAGCUCAGUUAUCUGACCAGCAUACUUAUUAAUAUCAAAGCUGUAAUGAUGAAAGCAGUAUUGAAGCCAAUUAUUGAUGAAAUUGUAACCAAGGAGAACAAUAGGGGAACAAGAAGAGUGUGAGCAAGAAAUUGGCAGAAUCAUUAAAAGAAUCAAAAGAAACAUACAUCAGGUUGUUAGUCUCAAAAAGAUCAUAGAAUCACUAAAGUUGGAAAAGACCUUCAAGAUCAGCUAGUCCAACAAUCCUCUUACCACCAAUAUUUCUUGACUAAACCAUGUCCCUUAGUACAGCAUGUAAAAAUUUACUGAAUGCCCCCAGAGGCAACUGGUUCCAUGGGCAGCCCAUUCUAGCACCUUACUACUCUUGCAGAGAAGAAAUUUUUCCUCAUAUCAAACCUGAGUCUCUCCUGGCACAAUUUGAGUCCAGCUCGUAGUUAUGUGGGAGAAGAGGCGGACCCCUACCUUGCCACAACCUCAGGGGAGUUGUAGAGGUCUUCCCUGAGCGUUCUCCAGACUAAGCAAUCCUGGUUUCUUCAGCUGUUCCCCAUCCUGUGUUCCAGAUCCCUCACCAGCUUCACUGCCCUUCAGGCACGCUCUAGGGCCUUGAUGUCUUUCUUGUAGUGAGGGGCCCUGAAAUUAACAAGUACAAGAGGUGCAACCUCAUCAGAGCAAAGUACAGAAGGAUGAUCACCUCCCUGCUCCUGCUGGCAACUCUAUUUCUGAUACAAGUCAGGAUGCCAUUGGCCAUCGUCACCUGGACACACUGCUGACUCAUGUUCAGCCAGCUGACAGCUAUCACUCCCAGACCUUUUCCUCUGCACAGUCUUCCAGCCACUCUGUCCAAAGUGUAUUGUGUUGCCUGGGAUUGUUGUGGCAAAAGUGCAGGACCUGGCACUUAGUCUUGUUGUGCUUCAUCCCAUUGGCUUCAGCCCAUUGAUCCUGCCUGUCUAUAUCUCUCUGUAGGGUCUUCCUACCUUCAGGCAGAUCAACACUUCUUCCCAACUUGGUGUCGCCUGUGAACUUACUGAGGAUGGGCUCAAUCCUCUUAUCCAGGUAAUCAGUAACAAUAUUAAACAGGAUGGGCCUUAAUACAGACCUCUGUGGAACACUGCUCACGAUUGGAUGCCAGUUGGAUAUAACUCCAUUCAGCACCACUCAGUGUGCCUGGCCCUCCAACCAUUUCCUGUACCCAGUACAGAGUGUACCCGUCCAAGUCAUGGGUCUUGAAGAGUGCUGGGGAAGACAGUGUCAAAGGUUUUGCUGAAGUCUAGAUAGACAACAUCAGCACCUUUUCCUAUCCAUCAGACAGAUCACUUAUCAUUGAAAGAGCUGAAGCAGGUUAAGCAGGACUUGCCUUUCAUGAACCUGUACUGGCUGAGCCUGAGCCCUCUGCUGUCCCACAAAUGCUGAGUGAUCUCAUUCAAGAUUAUCUGUAUGAUGGUCCUAAAGCAGAUGUAUAACUGAUGUUAGGUAAUAAAGAUGACGCCAAUAGAGGCAUACAGUUGUGCUUGGUAUGUUAUCAGAUAUACAAACAGGGAUAAGAGUAAGUAGGGAAAAGUUUCAAUUAUCAUACUAACAAUAUCUCUGUAAAGAAAAUGUCUCAGGUCAAAUGAAACCUCUGUGUUCUGGAUUGCACCAGAGGCUUUGUAUUGAUGCUAUAUGGAAGUUUCCUAAGAUGGCUCUCCUGUACAUCCUUACUGAAAAUAGGAACAUGAGAAGGCAGAGAUGUGGCUCAGGCAUCUGCCUCCUCACGUGGACCAAGGCCUGCGAGGGAGUUUGCUUCCCUUGUGUAUGGUAGCUUGAGCAUUUUUUAACCAUCUUCUAUCAUUUUCUCUCUGUAGUGCAGUAGUUGGGAGUAGGAGGUCUUGAUGAAUCCAGUCUGGUCCCCCUCCCACAGUACAGAUAUCUCAAGUCUGCCACUUUACACAGAUACUUAAUGUGUCGGCUUUCAUUUAUGUUAGUAUGAAGGAUCUAUACUUGAACUUGAUGGUGACUUUGCAGCCUUUAGCAGAAAUACAGUGAAAUUAAAUAUCAGCCAUAUUGCAUGAAAAUGUUACAGCUUAUGGCUUGAAAACUUUUAUGGAAAAUCAACUACUGAUUUACUUUACCAUUCCCUUUAUGAAGACAGAGCCAGCCUACAGUCAAGUCUACCACUGGUUUCCAGCUUUCUCUUACAGCUUCAGUGCACUUAAAUGUCCAGGAAUUAGCAUUUUAUGCCUGAUGCCUGGUGGAGCAGUCUUAAUGUGCAAGUCCUUCUCCAACUUGCAGGUGGUGAUGGUGUGUGCUGUGUGAACAAAAGCAGACAAGGGCUGUGCAUGUCUCUAUGCCACUGGCUUUUCUCAUGUUUGUAUUUGGGCAGAAAUGUGGUGGAAGGCUUUCCAUGCUUCAGGCUCCCAUCACCCUUUGUGCAAAGAUUGUUGUUGUUUCUCUGAAAUUAGUCAUGCUUGUAAUUCUUGUGCCAAGUCAGUGGGCUGGUGACUUUGGAGAGGCUGUGGUCACAAACGAUGGCUUUCAUUAAAUGAGACUAAAGGGCUGCUGGAUGCUUGUAAGGCUCAAAGGUGCUGAGAAGGGAUAUGCAGAGGGCACUUGGCUGUGUUUCUUUGCCUUUGGGCAACUUCUGGUCUGAUGCCACUGUCUGGACACUGUCCCUCCCCUAAAAUUCAAAUGAAUUCUCACAAUGUGGACAGUAGACUUUGUAUAAUUUGUUGCUUGUUUUGUCUCCCUUUUACCUGCUGUGGUAUUUUGGAAAAAAAAGAUACAACUUAGUACUCUCGCAUCUGUAACGCUUUUUGGGAACUUUUGUCAUGCUACCCUCUCCCUGCUUUCCAGUCUGGACAUCAAGCUCCUCUCCUGUAUCUAACUAUUUCUUCUUCUCACUACAGAAUGUAAAAUGUCUCUUCUAUUUUGAGCUCAGAAAUGUUCUGAAUUACAUCAUGUUAACAAAGAAUCAGAGUCUGUAGUUGGAAAACAGGAGAAGCCAGCGUAUUUCAUGGUGAAACAAGGAUGACAAAAGGGCUGUUUGGGUUUUUGGUCACACCCUGCAUAUGAGUUAUCUGGCAACUCACAGGAGCUGGUGCAGAAAUAAUCCAGUGGACCAUCUUACUAGAAAUCAUUAUAUGAUUAAAAUAUGCAUUUCUCAAAGUCUCUAAAGUGCUGAGAACAAAUCAGCUGCAAAAUUCAUCUUUAAUAUGCAACCUAUUUGCAAAUUAUGUCUAAGUAGAUCAGUAAUUACUAUGAGUCAGUGUGUGUUCAAUGUGCAAUGCAAAUUACUAACCCAGAUUAAAUUUUGGAGUGUCUAAGACUUCAGAUUUUAAUGUUGUCAUUUUUCAUCUAUAUCUCCCCAAAGGCCAACCCUUAUUUUUAAAAGUAUAUUAAUAUGUAUAUAUACGUACUUGGGAUGUUCAGCAAGCAUUGCUAUUUAUAUCAUUGAAAUGAAAAACUGUGAUAAAACCUUACAGUUUAUUCUGAUUCUGGGGUCAGGACAUGAUUAAUCCACACAUAAAUUCACUCUUACUGGUUGGGGAAAUGGACAGGAACUGUAUAUUUGCUAAUGCUUAUCACUCACUGGAGAACAUUAGCAUCCUUUUUUAACACAUUUUUCUGCAAAUGAUCAGUGCAUCAUCUUCAGCAGGGUUUCUCUUGGCUCAGCAAUGCUGCUUCAGCAGUAUUUCUUGUUUCAUGAUCACUUUCUCAUUUUUGUGCUGUAUGUUUUCAGUUCCCAGCCUCCAUGAUAUUGUUAUUAUUGUGGGGAUCUGCUAAAUAAGUACCAGAGUACCAGCAACUAGAUUACAUUUUCAGUGUAAGAGCUAAGAGUCAGACGCAUGUUUUGAGGAAGAAGGUGGUGUUGUUUUUUGAAAUUCCAAACCAAGUGCUAAUGGAUGUGCCUUCUCAUGGUCACUGUGAUCACAGUAUUUUGCUUGAUUAUUCUGGGAACAUGUUUUUCAAAUUGUCUUUUAAAACAGGCUUUUAAAGAAAUGAUGCUGUCCAUUCAGCCACAAGCAAACUCUAGAAACCUCUGAGAAAGAAACCUGAAUGUAGUGAACAUGGCAUUUAAAAGUCAGGGUUGCUGGGGCAGACUUAGUUCAGGCUCCUUGAGAUUGUGCAUUACACUAAAGGCUUUAAUUACUUGUUGUAUGUGUUUCUUCUCAAAAUCUUGCAUUCCUUAACACUGACAUCUGUGAACUUUUCAGCAUCACACUCUGUAUUAUUAACUUUUAUCUAGCAUCUGGCUUGUGGUGUGGAGGAAAUGUGGGGAUGUAAUUUCCUUAAAUUUUUAAAACUUAAUGGAAGUCACUGUUUUAGCUGAAGAAAUCAUACUGUUAUGAGCUCUGCUGACCACCUUUCAUAUCAGUUCUAGAGAGCGAUAAGGAGUUAUAACACUCUUCUCACAUAUUUGAGCUAAGAGAGUAACUGAUAGGUGUAGCAGCUCAGGUGACUUAAGUUUCCUAAAAUGCUAAGCAGUAAACCAAGAAAUAUGUAAAUCAGCCUGGGCCAUAGACCUCUCUUCCUGAAUGGUAUACAAUAUAAGGCUCUCUCCUAUCCUCUUCCAGCCGGAGAGGUUGAAACAAAUGUGAAGAUGCUCCAAGUGGAGUUCAAGUUCCAGGCUCAUAAUACUGGAUUAGUGUCAGUUCACUGUCAGCUCAUACAGCCUUUGUUCUCUGGGCAGCUAUUCAUCUGCUUUUCAGUUGAAUGGAAAUUGCAUUCAGUCUUUUCCCAGUUCCCUGUCAGUGCUCCCUAAGGGAUGCUUUCCCUAUGAGAAGCUAAGCACUCCCACUUUUCAAGAGCUGCUGAACCUCUCAGAGGAAGAGACCAUGCAGUAAAUGACAAAGUAUUUUUCUAAUGAAAAGAAUAUGUUGGAGGAGAAAAUAAUAUUUAAACAAAGCCCUGGAGACAGCUUAAGACUGUCUUCUUGAAGAAGGGCAGGCAUAUUUAAAGACUCAGAGGAACAAUAAGAACAUUUUUUUUAAAUCAAAAUUUCAUGAAAGAAAGAUCUUUGGGGUUGAGCGGAUGGAAUACAGAUUUCAGUUCUACCAGCUUUAAUUAAUACCAUAAAGUUCUGUUGGGAUCCUAUUAAAAAAAAUCCAGGAAUCCUUAUGGAAAUUAUUAUUUGACCUCCUGAUGCACCACUGAAAGAAAAAAAGACAGCUCCAGUGUCACAAAUUGCUCCAUGGGAGCAGAUUCUUUUACCAGUCACAAGCUCCAUUGAUUUUACUAAUUAAUAAGGUAGGUUCCUAAAGGGAGAGACCACCUGGCAGUAUUGGGGAAGCUCAGUACUUGGCUAGGUCUCUUCUUUAUGGUUUUACCUAGUUUGACUGGGGGUUAUUUAUGAUACCAACAUCACUAGCAUAGGUCCAGCUGUGCAGACCAGCAGGCAGCUCUGAGGUAAGAGGAAGAGCUCUGCCCAGCCUAAUGCCAUGUAAGGUGAUGUGGUGCUGUGUCUGGUCAGUGCAUCCAUCUACCUAACAACACAUGUUGCACAUAUAGUGGGGCUGUGUUGGCUUUCUCAUGUGUGUGUGCAAGUGGGGAGUGGGCCUGAACCAGGAGUCGAAGCCUGGAGGUCACUAUGUGGCCAGAAGAACAGGCUUUGGGAAUCACACUAGCUUCACCCGCCGUUCCAGGCCAGUGGAAUUCUGGAGCUGUGUGAGCAUGGCCAGCAUCAGUAGUGCAGCUCAGGGGCCUGGACAACUGUCCUUCCUGUGCAGAAACUUGCAGUGUGGAGGCCUGCUACCACGCAUGAAGAGAUGGAGUCAAAUCUCUACAUUUACCUGCAGAAAUUCUCUGGUACUUAUAAAUGAGUACCAGCCUACAACUGAUCUAAGUCUAGCUCUUUCAAUGUUGAAAUUGUGUAGAUAAGAACUUCUCUAUGAAAAGGAUAUCUUCUUUGACCAUUACAACUUUAAUAAUCGCUGCUACAGCUUUCUCUGAAAAUGCCUAGGCAGCCAUCGUCUUAGGAAAAGAAACUAAGAGCAAAAGACUUUCAGUGAAAGGCACUUCAUUUUCUUCUCUCUUUCCAUGAAAAAGUUCAUUGUUUCACCUCCUCAGUUUGUUGCUGCCUGUGGAGAAAGGAGUAAAUUAUUGCAUGCAGGCAGAAGAGAGGAAUGGUGCUGAACUGGGAUGAACAGGAGUUAUCAUCACAAUGAGAACUAGACAGAUAAGAAAUCAAUUGAUUCAUGUCAGAGAGUUGAUGUUAUAGUUUAAUAUCCCAGUAGUGACUGUGUUAUCUCUGAUGCCUUUUGGAACUGCUUGUACUUUGGUUUAAUCUUAAAUAAGAUUAAAUGCUUUCAAACAGAUUUGGUAAGCCCCUCAGGGGAACAGUUACUUGUCAUCUGUGAUUAUAUUUAAUUAGUGCGAGUGGGAAAUUUGCCAUUUUUCCCCUUAGUUGUAGCUCACUGAUUUCUGUCAAGCCUUUUGAGGGGUUCAAAAACAACAACAACAAACUCUAUUGAAUUUUGAUUUUCUGGCUUCAGAGACACAUUGUGCUACCAUAUGACUGAUAUGAAGUUUUAUAGCGAUUACUAUUGACACAGAAAGAUAUACUAUACCAGAGAACGUAAAAAAAAGUCUCUUCUGCACUAUCCAGAUAAUGCAUGCAUUUUCCUUUUCCUGUAUACAAAAAUGGAAGUGGAGGAAUGUGGCAAAACAAAUCAAGGUGAAUAAGUAUUGUUUCUUGUAGCAGUUUUGAUAGGACUUUCUAGAUUGGAAUUUAUACCAGUAGAACUAUAUUGCUCUCAUUAUAGUGCAGUAGUUAUGCUUGAAUAAAUUCCCAUGUGAGCAGUCUUAGGAAAGAGAGUAUUCAUGUAAAAAUCUAUGCAGUUUUAACUCUCUGGAGAUAAUUAUACCCGUGUUGGUUGACCUAUAAAUUUCUAGAUAAAAUCCUUAGUACAAAUGUCAGUCACCCACAGCCAGUACAUAACAAGCCUUUGAGCUAUCUACAGUGAGGUACUUGAGAGCAGCUCAGCUACCCAUCGUUUUGUUCUAGGAUUAUACCUGGUGACUUCUGUAUAUGUUUUCUAUUUAUUUGGUAGAAUUCAAGCAUUGGUAUAGAAUCAUACAAUCCUAGAAUGGUUUGGGUUGGAAGGGAUCUUUAAACUCCAAACCCCCCUGCAGUAGGCAGGGACACCUCCCACUAGACCAGGUUGCUC